This 377-nucleotide ribosomal RNA is filed under the name uncultured organism. Its description in RNAcentral is "partial 16S ribosomal RNA". It matches the Rfam family "Bacterial small subunit ribosomal RNA", at positions 526 to 896 of the family's 1533-position model. The record is from RNAcentral.
GUAGGGGGGCGAGCGUUGUCCGGGAUUUAUUGGGGCGUAAAGAGCUCGUAGGCGGUUGCGUAAGUCGGAUGUGAAAACUCAGGGGCUCAACCCUGAGAUGCCAUUCGAUACUGCGCUGACUCGAGUCCGGUAGGGGAGCAUGGAAUUCCUGGUGUAGCGGUGAAAUGCGCAGAUAUCAGGAGGAACACCAGUGGCGAAGGCGGUGCUCUGGGCCGGUACUGACGCUGAGGAGCGAAAGCAUGGGUAGCAAACAGGAUUAGAUACCCUGGUAGUCCAUGCCGUAAACGUUGGGCACUAGGUGUGGGGCCUACUUAACGGGUUCCGUGCCGUAGCUAACGCAUUAAGUGCCCCGCCUGGGGAGUACGGCCGCAAGGCUA